Molecule: ribosomal RNA, 253 nt
Filed under: uncultured bacterium
Lineage: Bacteria
Description: partial 16S ribosomal RNA
Rfam family: Bacterial small subunit ribosomal RNA
Source: RNAcentral
UACGAACUGUGCGAACGUUAUUCGGAAUCACUGGGCUUACAGGGUGCGUAGGCGGCUCAACAAGUCAGGUGUGAAAGCCCCCGGCUCAACCGGGGAACUGCGCUUGAAACUGUUAGGCCCGAGUCAGCUAGAGGUACACGGAACUUCCAGUGGAGCGGUGAAAUGUGUUGAUAUUGGAAGGAACACCGGAGGCGAAAGCGGUGUACUGGGGCUGGUCUGACGCUGAGGCACGAAAGCCAGGGGAGCGAACGGG